Molecule: ribosomal RNA, 718 nt
Filed under: Cryocola sp.
Lineage: Bacteria; Bacillati; Actinomycetota; Actinomycetes; Micrococcales; Microbacteriaceae
Description: bacterial SSU rRNA
Rfam family: Bacterial small subunit ribosomal RNA
Source: RNAcentral
GUGGCGAACGGGUGAGUAACACGUGAGUAACCUGCCCUUGACUCUGGGAUAACCUCCGGAAACGGAAGCUAAUACCGGAUAUGACGCACGGAGGCAUCUCCUGUGCGUGGAAAGAACUUCGGUCAAGGAUGGACUCGCGGCCUAUCAGGUAGUUGGUGAGGUAACGGCUCACCAAGCCUACGACGGGUAGCCGGCCUGAGAGGGUGACCGGCCACACUGGGACUGAGACACGGCCCAGACUCCUACGGGAGGCAGCAGUGGGGAAUAUUGCACAAUGGGCGCAAGCCUGAUGCAGCAACGCCGCGUGAGGGACGACGGCCUUCGGGUUGUAAACCUCUUUUAGUAGGGAAGAAGCGAAAGUGACGGUACCUGCAGAAAAAGCACCGGCUAACUACGUGCCAGCAGCCGCGGUAAUACGUAGGGUGCGAGCGUUGUCCGGAAUUAUUGGGCGUAAAGAGCUCGUAGGCGGUCUGUCGCGUCUGCUGUGAAAACCCGAGGCUCAACCUCGGGCCUGCAGUGGGUACGGGCAGACUAGAGUGCGGUAGGGGAGAAUGGAAUUCCUGGUGUAGCGGUGGAAUGCGCAGAUAUCAGGAGGAACACCGAUGGCGAAGGCAGUUCUCUGGGCCGUAACUGACGCUGAGGAGCGAAAGCGUGGGGAGCGAACAGGAUUAGAUACCCUGGUAGUCCACGCCGUAAACGUUGGGCGCUAGAUGUGGGG